This is a long non-coding RNA of Cyprinodon tularosa, 260 nucleotides long. RefSeq lists it as uncharacterized. NCBI's taxonomy places the organism in Eukaryota, Metazoa, Chordata, Actinopteri, Cyprinodontiformes, Cyprinodontidae. The record is from RefSeq and is a predicted model, not a curated record. The transcript is spliced from 2 exons.
CUGGAAAACCGCUGAUUUUUGCAGAUGUGUCUGUGGGCGGGGCUUUUCAGGACCCCUCGCCUCAAACAGGAAGUAAACUGCGUGUAGACUCCAAGAACUACAAAUUAUUUUGUUAUCUGAUCGAUGCGAAAUACGUUGAGAUCUUAAGAAGUCACCGUCAGCAAGAGCCUCAGCGAUGAGAGAAAGAACCGAGUAGAAAAACCACAGAAAGCUGUAUGAGAAGUAAAAACAGCCUGUGCAAUAAAAGGUCAAUGGCAACA